GACGAACGCUGGCGGCGUGCUUAACACAUGCAAGUCGAACGGAAAGGCCCUUCGGGGUACUCGAGUGGCGAACGGGUGAGUAACACGUGGGUGAUCUGCCCUGCACUUUGGGAUAAGCCUGGGAAACUGGGUCUAAUACCGAAUAGGACCACGCGCUUCAUGGUGUGUGGUGGAAAGCUUUUGCGGUGUGGGAUGGGCCCGCGGCCUAUCAGCUUGUUGGUGGGGUAAUGGCCUACCAAGGCGACGACGGGUAGCCGGCCUGAGAGGGUGACCGGCCACACUGGGACUGAGAUACGGCCCAGACUCCUACGGGAGGCAGCAGUGGGGAAUAUUGCACAAUGGGCGCAAGCCUGAUGCAGCGACGCCGCGUGAGGGAUGACGGCCUUCGGGUUGUAAACCUCUUUCAAUAGGGACGAAGCGCAAGUGACGGUACCUAUAGAAGAAGCACCGGCCGACUACGUG
This 462-nucleotide ribosomal RNA is filed under the name uncultured bacterium. RNAcentral's name for it is "partial 16S ribosomal RNA". It matches the Rfam family "Bacterial small subunit ribosomal RNA", at positions 28 to 507 of the family's 1533-position model. The record is from RNAcentral.